Molecule: ribosomal RNA, 127 nt
Filed under: Aspergillus fumigatus
Lineage: Eukaryota; Fungi; Ascomycota; Eurotiomycetes; Eurotiales; Aspergillaceae
Description: partial 5.8S ribosomal RNA
Rfam family: 5.8S ribosomal RNA
About the family: 5.8S ribosomal RNA (5.8S rRNA) is a component of the large subunit of the eukaryotic ribosome.
Source: RNAcentral
GCAUCGAUGAAGAACGCAGCGAAAUGCGAUAAGUAAUGUGAAUUGCAGAAUUCAGUGAAUCAUCGAGUCUUUGAACGCACAUUGCGCCCCCUGGUAUUCCGGGGGGCAUGCCUGUCCGAGCGUCAUU